This 76-nucleotide transfer RNA is filed under the name Gemmatimonadales bacterium. Its description in RNAcentral is "tRNA-Ala". It matches the Rfam family "tRNA". From Rfam's summary of the family: Transfer RNA (tRNA) molecules are approximately 80 nucleotides in length. Their secondary structure includes four short double-helical elements and three loops (D, anti-codon, and T loops). Lineage: Bacteria; Pseudomonadati; Gemmatimonadota; Gemmatimonadia; Gemmatimonadales. The record is from RNAcentral.
GGGGUUAUAGCUCAGUUGGUAGAGCACCGGCUUUGCAAGCCGGGUGUCAGGAGUUCGAAUCUCCUUAACUCCACCA